RNAcentral lists this ribosomal RNA (594 nucleotides) under Rhodotorula diobovata. RNAcentral's name for it is "eukaryotic LSU rRNA". It matches the Rfam family "Eukaryotic large subunit ribosomal RNA", at positions 66 to 669 of the family's 3401-position model. The record is from RNAcentral. Lineage: Eukaryota; Fungi; Basidiomycota; Microbotryomycetes; Sporidiobolales; Sporidiobolaceae.
UAAGGGGUUUUUCCCCCUAGUAGCGGCGAGCGAAGCGGGAAGAGCUCAAAUUUAUAAUCUGGCACCUUCGGUGUCCGAGUUGUAAUCUCUAGAAGUGUUUUCCGCGUUGGACCGCACACAAGUCUGUUGGAAUACAGCGGCAUAGUGGUGAAACCCCCGUAUAUGGUGCGGACGCCCAGCGCUUUGUGAUACACUUUCAAUGAGUCGAGUUGUUUGGGAAUGCAGCUCAAAUUGGGUGGUAAAUUCCAUCUAAAGCUAAAUAUUGGCGAGAGACCGAUAGCGAACAAGUACCGUGAGGGAAAGAUGAAAAGCACUUUGGAAAGAGAGUUAACAGUACGUGAAAUUGUUGGAAGGGAAACGCUUGAAGUCAGACUUGCUUGCCGGAGCUUGCUUCGGUUUGCAGGCCAGCAUCAGUUUUCCGGGGUGGAUAAUGACGGUUUGAAGGUAGCAGUCUCGGCUGUGUUAUAGCUUUCCGUUGGAUACGCCCUGGGGGACUGAGGAACGCAGCGUGCUUUUUGCGAAAGACUCGUCUUUUUCACGCUUAGGAUGCUGGUGGAAUGGCUUUAAACGACCCGUCUUGAAACAACGGACACA